RNAcentral lists this unclassified non-coding RNA (339 nucleotides) under soil metagenome. RNAcentral's name for it is "partial contains 5.8S ribosomal RNA, internal transcribed spacer 2, and large subunit ribosomal RNA". The stretch from base 1 to 120 matches the Rfam family "5.8S ribosomal RNA", at positions 35 to 154 of the family's 154-position model. The record is from RNAcentral.
GAUGAAGAACGCAGUGAAAUGCGAUAACUAAUGUGAAUUGCAGAAUUCAGUGAAUCAUCGAGUCUUUGAACGCACAUUGCGCCCCCUGGUAUUCCGGGGGGCAUGCCUGUCCGAGCGUCAUUGCUGCCCUCAAGCACGGCUUGUGUGUUAGGCUCCGUCCCCCCGGGGACGGGCCCGAAAGGCAGCGGCGGCACCGAGUCCGGUCCUCGAGCGUAUGGGGCUUUGUCACCCGCUCUGUAGGCCCGGCCGGCGCCAGCCGACAACCCAUCAUCCUUUUCAGGUUGACCUCGGAUCAGGUAGGGAUACCCGCUGAACUUAAGCAUAUCAAUAAGCGGAGGA